ACCUCUCCCCCAAGUCCUCCUCCGCCUCCUCCUCUCUGCAUGCGCCUCAGAGCCCGUGCCAAGAACAAGCAGCAGUCCUGGACUCGAGGUCCAUAAAAAUCAGUCGACUGAAUGACACCAUCAAAUCUUUGAAACAACAGAAGAAACAAGUGGAACAUCAGCUGGAAGAAGAAAAGAAAGCAAACAAUGAGAAACAGAAAGCUGAAAGGGAGCUAGAGGGUCAAAUCCAGAGAUUGAACAGAGAGAAAAAGAAACUAAAUACGGACCUGUAUCACAUGAAACAUUCUCUCAGAUACUUUGAAGAAGAGUCCAAGGAUCUGGCCGGCCGCCUGCAACGUUCAUCGCAGCGUAUAGGAGAGUUAGAGUGGUCUCUCUGUGCUGUCGCCGCCACACAGAAGAAGAAGCCGGAUGGGUUCUCGAGCUGCAGUAAAGCACUUCUCAAGCGGCAGUUAGAGCAGUCCAUACGGGAGCAGAUACUGCUGAAAGGACACGUGACACAGUUGAAGGAGUCGCUUAAAGAAGUCCAGCUGGAGAGAGAUCAAUAUGCUGAACAAAUAAAAGGAGAGAGGGCCCAGUGGCAGCAGAGGAUGAGGAAAAUGUCGCAGGAGGUUUGCACAUUGAAGGAGGAGAAGAAGCAUGAUACGCAUCGGGUAGAGGAGCUGGAGAGGAGCUUGUCCAGACUCAAAAACCAGAUGGCUGAGCCACUGCCCCCGGAUGCCCCAGCAGUGUCCUCUGAGGUGGAGCUGCAAGACCUGAGGAAGGAGCUGGAGAGAGUGGCAGGAGAGCUCCAGGCUCAGGUGGAAAACAAUCAGUGCAUCAGUCUCCUGAACCGUGGGCAAAAGGAGAGGCUUCGCGAGCAGGAGGAGAGGCUUCAGGAGCAGCAGGAGAGGCUUCGGGAACAGGAGAAGAGGCUUCAGCAGCUGGCCGAGCCACAGAGCGACUUGAAGGAGCUGAAGAACGAGAACAAGAGCGCACUGCAGUUGGAGCAGCAAGUAAAGGAGCUGCAGGAGAAGCCGGGCCAGGUGACGGAGACGCUCACCUCGGCCGAGAAGGAGCCAGAGGCAGCAGUCCCAGCCUCAGGGACUGGGGGCGAGUCUAGCGGCCUUAUGGACCUCCUGGAGGAGAAGGCGGACCUGAGGGAGCAUGUGGACAAACUGGAACUUGGAUUCAUCCAGUACCGGAGAGAGAGAUGCCAUCAGAAAGUACAUCGCCUUCUAACAGAGCCAGGGGACAGUGCCAAAGAUGCGGCACCGGGAGGAGGCCAUCAUCAGGCUGGCCCAGGACGAGGAGGAGAGGAAGGUGACGCUGCUGGAGCUGCAGGAGAUGGUGUUGCGGCUUGUGGCAACUACAGCGAGGGGCACGGCAAAUUCCUGGCCGCUGCCCGGAACCCUGCUGCUGAACCCAGUCCAGGAGCCCCAGCCCCCCAGGAGCUCGGGGCUGCCAACGAGCGUGAUCUUUGUGAGGUGAGCCUCACCAACAGCGUGGAGCCUGCACAAGGAGAAGCCAGGGAGGGUUCUUCCCAGGACAAGCCUACUGCACAGCCAAUCGUGCAGCUCCUUGGUGAGAUGCAGAACCACCAGGAGCACCCAGGCUUGGGCAGCAACUGCUGUGUGCCAUGCUUUUGCUGGGCUUGGCUGCCGAGAAGGAGGAGAUAAACACCACCAUCAUCAAAGAGCUGCUCAAGAAAUUUUUAAAAACAAAACAAAGUUAUGGGGUUAAUCUCCUACAUGAUUCAUUUACUUCAUUUGAAUGUUAGAGCUACUCAUGAUUAUUUGUGUUUCUAAUUUAUAGUUUAAGUUUAUUUGUAAAAAGUUAAAAGAGAGUGGGUCUCUGUGGCUCUCACUGAUGUUCACUCUGGCAUCCUUUAGCAUUUUUCUUUUUUCAUUUCAUAAUUGUAGGUCAUUAGCAUGCAUAUCGAGUUUGCCCUUACGUGGUGGGAGUUCAAACACACAAAGACCCACUCUUUGCACAAAACUGUUCUCACUGGUUUGGAAUAGGCUCCCGUGCUUUUUUAAUGUUAUUGCAGCAUGUAUGUUCAUUACAGAAUUCAGAUAAAAUUUGCUAAUGUUCUGCUAUGAUGUUUGAUCUCAUCUUAAUCACAGUGAGCUCUUCAAUAGCUCAAUAUGCGGUUUGCCCUCAAGUGUACACUGUUUAUUACUUUGUAAUAUGCUACUAUGAGUACUGACAUUUAGAGCUGUUUAAAGGCCGAGAACUGGAAACAGCCUUUCCUCCAUUUUCUGUGUAUUGGUGAUGGGAGUGAUAACCUUUUGGGGGAGCUUUCUAAAUCUCACAGAAGAGGAAAGUGGCCUGCUCUGGCAGGUAUGUGCA
This 2328-nucleotide small RNA is filed under the name Pan troglodytes (chimpanzee). Its description in RNAcentral is "retained intron". Lineage: Eukaryota; Metazoa; Chordata; Mammalia; Primates; Hominidae. The record is from RNAcentral.